Molecule: long non-coding RNA, 1709 nt
Filed under: Mus musculus (house mouse)
Lineage: Eukaryota; Metazoa; Chordata; Mammalia; Rodentia; Muridae
Description: RIKEN cDNA 2610307P16 gene
Source: RNAcentral
GGGAGGGAGAGAGGAGGAAGGGGUGAGAGGGAGAAACCUGCCGCGGCUCUCCGCCUCUUUGUCUGCUCUGGGACUUGGAACAAAAGGGGAAACUCUGAUGAACUCCUUCUCCAGCUCCCUGGACGCCCGAGUAUCUCUUUCUCGCAACUUUGUCAACGCGACUUUCUCCGCUGUCAGGCUGCGCAAAAGUAUCCUAGCGCCUCGCAGGCUGCAACAAUGGAAACAAUGUCCCUUCAAAGUGCGACGAAGUGGAGGGAGAAGGUGUCAUACCAGCGACUCCAAGAGUCAUGUCACCCACUUAGCAGGAGUACUUCUACUGAAAUGCCUUCGAAUUUCUCUUACUGGAUAUAUACCUACCAGCCGCUAGCAUGAAGAUGCCAGGACCGCUGCAAGUUAGCACUGGACAAAGUAGCAUCAACUUCUUCAUUUAGAGUUUCUUCAGUUAAAUUGCUGGGAUUUUCGACAAGGCUUUCCUUAUGUGGAUUAUUGGAGUGUGAUGCCCGAGAAUUCUCUACUUGUAGAAGCACGCCCACGGGACUGCAGAAGCCUUCACACCCACCCAGCACGCUCAGAUGGGAAUGAGUGAUGGCCAUCCAGUGACCAGCUGGAUCUGACUGCCUUACAAGACGCAUGUGUAUGAUUAAGAGAGAGACAUUCGUGACUCCCAGAUGUACCUCCUUCCUGUCCCACAGUGUUCCUGAAGGGAGUGAGUUAUGGGGUAACUUAUAACACAGCAGGCUCUUCCUCAAGAUAGCUCUUGUCAAAACAGGAAGACGAAACUCGGGUUUCCAUGAGGAGACCACAGCUUGGGAUCCUGUCUGGAUGUACAAGCAGAAGCAUCUUCAUACUUUUCCAUUUCUAACCAUCAUGCCUCACCCCACCCUCCCAAGGCGACAUCUGCAGAGAGGUGGAACCAUCUAGGGAGGCCUGCCACUGUUUGCUGAGCUCCGGGUGAGGAUGAAGACACUUUGACAUGGCCAGCUUCAGACUCGGGAUCUGUCGGUGUUAGCAGCCGAAGGAGAAUGAGGAGGAAGAGGAGGAGAAAGAGGAGGAGGAAGUAAGACAGAGGGGGACAAGAGGACCAAGAGGGCACAUGGCUGAGGAGGAGGAGAACAACAACAACAACAACAACAACAACAACAACAAGAAGCUUGGUGGACUCUGGAAUUGGCUAAAGAGAUGAUGACAAACCUUCUCCAGCCAGUGGCCAUGGAUUAGACUUUUUCAGGAUGUGUUCCUGAGUCUCGUGAGUAGCACAUGGCAGUUGUUGUCACCUUGGGCUGAGCCGUGAAGAUUCUCACCCUCCCUUGUUGGGGAUGAACUCCGGGAUUCUAAGGAGAGGUCAGCAGGUGUUUCACAGACUGUUCCUGUUGGAGGAUUUGUCUGAUACUCUUCUCCUGAUUAGUCUGGGCUCUACAUUUCCCCAAGGGUGAAACUUGGAAGCCCUCUCCAGGAUGCAGCAGGUAGCUGAGGAGAAAACGAAGACUGACCAGCCCAGAGCUCAGAGCUUCCUCCCAUGCUCAGGAUUUACCACCAAUGCCAUUACAUCGGCCUCUUCUUGUAUGCCUCUGGAAACCACAUGUGUCCUCUGUUUGUAAUGGUUUGGCUAUGGUUGCUGGCCCCUCUUGGACAUUGUUUUCAGAACUUAAAGAAACAUUGCUUUAAAGAUUUAUUAGAACAUAUUUAAAAUAAAACCAUCUUCUCAUUUA